Non-coding RNA from Podarcis muralis (Common wall lizard), 445 nucleotides. The record is from RefSeq and is a predicted model, not a curated record. NCBI's taxonomy places the organism in Eukaryota, Metazoa, Chordata, Lepidosauria, Squamata, Lacertidae.
UGGUUCUUUGGCUCAGAUGGCUUCUUGGCUUCAGACCAUGGAGGGUGUCGCGUCGAGAUGGAGAGCUGCAACAGUUGUGCUGCAAGGACUGCUGGCGAUGACCUUUCUUAUUUCAGGAAUUUCUGCCUUGAAGUGUCAUAGUUCCAACACCGUCAAUCUUACCACUCCACACAAGGGCAACUCCUCAUCUCAUAACUCCCAGAAAGCGGUAUUAUCAACUGCUCCAGUGCUGAGAACGUUUGCACAGAUGCACAACUUAUAUUAACUAUAGAUAAAGAUGUUUUGAUAAUGAGCUACAAAGGCUGCGCCAGCAAGGACCUUGUGGAUGGAACAAAACCAAUCAACUCUGGUGACCGACACUUUGCCAUCCAAUUUGACCAGAGCUACUGUUUUGGUGACCUUUGCAAUGCGAAAACGAGAGAAGUUCCCAAGACCCCUAUUAAGG